RNAcentral lists this unclassified non-coding RNA (357 nucleotides) under soil metagenome. RNAcentral describes it as "partial contains 5.8S ribosomal RNA, internal transcribed spacer 2, and large subunit ribosomal RNA". The stretch from base 1 to 120 matches the Rfam family "5.8S ribosomal RNA", at positions 35 to 154 of the family's 154-position model. The record is from RNAcentral.
GAUGAAGAACGCAGCGAAAUGCGAAAAGUAAUGUGAAUUGCAGAAUUCAGUGAAUCAUCGAAUCUUUGAACGCACAUUGCGCCCGUUAGCAUUCUAGCGGGCAUGCCUGUCCGAGCGUCAUUUCAACCCUCAGGGUCCCCGUUCCGGCGGGGAACCUGGUGUUGGGGAUCGGCCCGCCCCGCGCGGCGCCGUCCCCCAAAUUCAGUGGCGGUCUCGCUGCAGCCUCCCCUGCGUAGUAGUUACAACCUCGCAUCGGAGCUCAGCGCGGCCACGCCGUAAAACCCCCGACUUUCUGAACGUUGACCUCGGAUCAGGUAGGAAUACCCGCUGAACUUAAGCAUAUCAAUAAGCGGAGGA